CCGUGUGCCUACAAGUAGUCAAAGCCCGUUAAUGGGUAAUGGCGUGCCUUUUGUAGAAUGAACCGGCGAGUUACGAUCCCGUGCAAGGUUAAGUUGAAGAGACGGGGCCGCAGCGAAAGCGAGUCUUAAUUAGGGCGACAGAGUACGUGGUCGUAGACCCGAAACCAGGUGAUCUACCCAUGUCCAGGGUGAAGUUCAGGUAACACUGAAUGGAGGCCCGAACCCACGCACGUUGAAAAGUGCGGGGAUGAGGUGUGGGUAGCGGAGAAAUUCCAAUCGAACUUGGAGAUAGCUGGUUCUCUCCGAAAUAGCUUUAGGGCU
RNAcentral lists this non-coding RNA (321 nucleotides) under Bacillus sp. SA1-12. Its description in RNAcentral is "bacterial LSU rRNA". It matches the Rfam family "Bacterial large subunit ribosomal RNA", at positions 556 to 877 of the family's 2925-position model. The record is from RNAcentral. Lineage: Bacteria; Bacillati; Bacillota; Bacilli; Caryophanales; Bacillaceae.